Molecule: transfer RNA, 69 nt
Filed under: Ictidomys tridecemlineatus (thirteen-lined ground squirrel)
Lineage: Eukaryota; Metazoa; Chordata; Mammalia; Rodentia; Sciuridae
Description: Spermophilus tridecemlineatus (thirteen-lined ground squirrel) tRNA
Rfam family: tRNA
About the family: Transfer RNA (tRNA) molecules are approximately 80 nucleotides in length. Their secondary structure includes four short double-helical elements and three loops (D, anti-codon, and T loops).
Source: Rfam by way of RNAcentral
GGGGUUGUGGCUCAGUGGUAGAGCGCUUGCCUUGCAGGUGUGAGGCUCAGGGUUCGAUUCUCAGCACCA